Molecule: ribosomal RNA, 505 nt
Filed under: uncultured bacterium
Lineage: Bacteria
Description: bacterial SSU rRNA
Rfam family: Bacterial small subunit ribosomal RNA
Source: RNAcentral
UAGUCCACGCUGUAAACGAUGAUUACUCGUUGUUGGCGAUACACAGUCAGCGACUGAACGAAAGUAUUAAGUAAUCCACCUGGGGAGUACGGUCGCAAGAUUGAAACUCAAAGGAAUUGACGGGGGCCCGCACAAGCGGAGGAGCAUGUGGUUUAAUUCGAUGAUACGCGAGGAACCUUACCUAGGCUCAAAUGCAUAACGAUCGUCCGGGAAACCGGUCUUCUCUUCGGAGCGUUUUGCAAGGUGCUGCAUGGUUGUCGUCAGCUCGUGCCGUGAGGUGUCGGGUUAAGUCCCAUAACGAGCGCAACCCCUAUUCUUAGUUGCCAUCAGGUAAUGCUGGGGACUCUAAGAAAACUGCCUACGCAAGUAGUGAGGAAGGUGGGGAUGACGUCAAAUCAGCACGGCCCUUAUAUCUAGGGCUACACACGUGCUACAAUGGUCAGUACAGAGGGAAGCUACCUGGUGACAGGAUGCUAAUCUCGAAAACUGGUCUCAGUUCGGAUCG